RNAcentral lists this ribosomal RNA (1395 nucleotides) under uncultured organism. RNAcentral describes it as "bacterial SSU rRNA". It matches the Rfam family "Bacterial small subunit ribosomal RNA". The record is from RNAcentral.
GCUUAACACAUGCAAGUCGAGGGGUAACGACUCCGUCUUCGGAUGGAGGUCGACGACCGGCGCACGGGUGAGUAACGCGUAUGCAACCUACCUUUUACAGGAGGAUAGCCCAGAGAAAUUUGGAUUAAUACUCCAUAGUACUAAUGAAUCACCUGGUUUAUUAGUUAAAACUCCGGUGGUAAAAGAUGGGCAUGCGUGUCAUUAGCUAGUUGGUAAGGUAACGGCUUACCAAGGCGAAGAUGACUAGGGGUUCUGAGAGGAAGAUCCCCCACACUGGUACUGAGACACGGACCAGACUCCUACGGGAGGCAGCAGUGAGGAAUAUUGGUCAAUGGGUGAGAGCCUGAACCAGCCAUGCCGCGUGAAGGAGGACUGCCCUAUGGGUUGUAAACUUCUUUUCUGCAGGAAGAAAUCACUCUACGUGUAGGGUGUUGCCGGUACUGCAGGAAUAACCAUCGGCUAACUCCGUGCCAGCAGCCGCGGUAAUACGGAGGAUGCAAGCGUUAUCCGGAUUCAUUGGGUUUAACGGGUGCGUAAGCGGGCUUGUAAGUACAGUGGUGAAAUGCUGUGGCUUAACCAUAGAAUUGCCAUUGAAACUGCAAGUCUUGAGUACAGUUGAGGUGGCCGGAAUGAGUAAUGUAGCGGUGAAAUGCAUAGAUAUUACUCAGAACUCCGAUUGCGUAGGCAGCUUGCUAAACUGUAACUGACGCUGAUGCACGAAAGCGUGGGGAGCGAACAGGAUUAGAUACCCUGGUAGUCCACGCUGUAAACGAUGAGCACUGGUUGUUGGCAGUACACCGUCAGCGACUGAGCGAAAGUAUUAAGUGCUCCACCUGGGGAGUACGUCGGCAACGAUGAAACUCAAAGGAAUUGACGGGGGCCCGCACAAGCGGAGGAACAUGUGGUUUAAUUCGAUGAUACGCGAGGAACCUUACCUGGGCUUAAAUGUAGAGUGCAUUGUUUGGAAACAAACAUUUUCUUCGGAACUCUUUACAAGGUGCUGCAUGGUUGUCGUCAGCUCGUGCCGUGAGGUGUCGGGUUAAGUCCCAUAACGAGCGCAACCCCUAUUGUUAGUUACCAGCACGUAAUGGUGGGGACUCUAGCAAGACUGCCGGUGUAAACCGUGAGGAAGGUGGGGAUGACGUCAAAUCAGCACGGCCCUUAUGUCCAGGGCUACACACGUGUUACAAUGGCAAGUACAAAGAGCAGCCACCUGGCGACAGGGCGCUAAUCUCAAAAGCUUGCCUCAGUUCGGAUCGAAGUCUGCAACUCGACUUCGUGAAGGUGGAUUCGCUAGUAAUCGCGCAUCAGCCAUGGCGCGGUGAAUACGUUCCCGGGCCUUGUACACACCGCCCGUCAAGCCAUGGAAGCCGGGGGUACCUGAAGUCCGUAACC